GAUGAACGCUGGCGGCGUGCCUAACACAUGCAAGUCGAACGGAGAUUAGACGCUGAUGAGGCUUCGGCGGAUUCUUGUUUAAUCUUAGUGGCGGACGGGUGAGUAACGCGUGGGCAACCUGCCUCGUACUGGGGGAUAGCAGUUGGAAACGACUGAUAAUACCGCAUAAGCGCACAGUAUCGCAUGAUACAGUGUGAAAAACUCCGGUGGUACGAGAUGGGCCCGCGUCAGAUUAGCUAGUUGGUAAGGUAACGGCUUACCAAGGCGACGAUCUGUAGCCGGACUGAGAGGUCGGACGGCCACAUUGGGACUGAGACACGGCCCAAACUCC
This 331-nucleotide ribosomal RNA is filed under the name uncultured Butyrivibrio sp. RNAcentral describes it as "bacterial SSU rRNA". It matches the Rfam family "Bacterial small subunit ribosomal RNA", at positions 28 to 339 of the family's 1533-position model. Lineage: Bacteria; Bacillati; Bacillota; Clostridia; Lachnospirales; Lachnospiraceae. The record is from RNAcentral.